GACGUAGGGCGCGAGCGUUGUCCGGAUUUAUUGGGCGUAAAGAGCUCGUAGGCGGCUUGUCGCGUCGACUGUGAAAUCUCAGGGCUCAACUCUGACAUUGCAGUCGGUACGGGCAGGCUAGAGUUCGGUAGGGGAGACUGGAAUUCCUGGUGUAGCGGUGAAAUGCGCAGAUAUCAGGAGGAACACCGGUGGCGAAGGCGGGUCUCUGGGCCGAUACUGACGCUGAGGAGCGAAAGCGUGGGGAGCGAACAGG
This 253-nucleotide ribosomal RNA is filed under the name uncultured bacterium. Its description in RNAcentral is "partial 16S ribosomal RNA". It matches the Rfam family "Bacterial small subunit ribosomal RNA", at positions 524 to 776 of the family's 1533-position model. The record is from RNAcentral.